AACAACGCUUCACAGCCCUCUGUGUGGAAAAAGUUUUCCUACUGUCCACCCUGACCCUCCCCAGGCACAAUUUGAGGCCGUUACCAAAAAAAGAUUCCCUCGGGGAAAGGAAAGCCGUGCACCCGCCUUGGAGCACUUUGUCCCGGGCUGUGCCGUGAGGAGAAGAGCAGCAGCGCAGAGGGGAGCAUGUGGAGAUGCGUCCGGAGAAGGAGCAGCCGGCACAGCUGCCAGCCUUUCCCGUUGGGUUUCCAGGCAGGAGUAAAACAAUGGCUGCUGAGAUACGUUACAUGGAAUGGGAACCUGGACUACCUCUUGCACAAAGCUGCUGAGGAAAAGCAUACGACUUAGAGAUGCUUCCAAGUUUUCAUAUGGACUGAACAGGAUUCGGUGCAGAACCCACAGAUGUGGAUUUACCAGAGGGCUCACAGAAGGUGAUUCCAGCAGAUGCCAGCUAUGAGCCUCCUGCUAUUGUAAGGCCGUACAGCCAAGGAGUGCUGAGUCAGCUGCACGACAGAGGAGUCCAGAGAAGCAAAGUGGGAUCAGAUGUGAAAAGUUUGGGUGUAACCCAUUGUGUUGCCCUUCGCUGACAGCCUCAAGACCCUGUGCCUACCUUCAGGCUGUACA
Molecule: long non-coding RNA, 624 nt
Filed under: Gallus gallus (chicken)
Lineage: Eukaryota; Metazoa; Chordata; Aves; Galliformes; Phasianidae
Description: long non-coding RNA NONGGAT005794
Source: RNAcentral